Molecule: ribosomal RNA, 110 nt
Filed under: Riccia multifida
Lineage: Eukaryota; Viridiplantae; Streptophyta; Marchantiopsida; Marchantiales; Ricciaceae
Description: partial 5.8S ribosomal RNA
Rfam family: 5.8S ribosomal RNA
About the family: 5.8S ribosomal RNA (5.8S rRNA) is a component of the large subunit of the eukaryotic ribosome.
Source: RNAcentral
GCAGCGAAAUGCGAUACCUAGUGUGAAUUGCAGAAUUCCGCGAAUCAUCGAGUUUUUGAACGCAUAUUGCGCCCGAGGCUCGCGCCGAGGGCACGUCUGUCUGAGCGUCA